GAUGAACGCUGACAGAAUGCUUAACACAUGCAAGUCUUUGGCGAAUCUGUGCUUGCACAGCUUAGCCAAGGCGGACGGGUGAGUAACGUGUAAAGAACUUGCCCUGCAGACAGGGAUAACAGACGGAAACGACUGAUAACACCUGAUACAAUCACCGGCGCGCAUGUGCCUGGCAAUGAAAAGAGAUGCUGCAGGAGAGCUUUGCGUCCGAUUAGCUUGUUGGUGAGGUGACGGCUCACCAAGGCGCUGAGGGGUAGCCGGCCUGAGAGGGUGAACGGCCACGCCGGAAAGGGGACACGGGCCAGACGGGGACGGGAGGCAGCAGUUGGGACCAUUGGGGGAUGGGCGGAAGCAUGAUGGGGCAAUGGCGCGUGCGUGAAGAAGGCCUUCGUGUGGUAAAGAACAGUUUUUGGGGAAGAAAAAGUGCUUUCGAAAGGAAGGAAGUAAUGACGGUACCCAACGAAAAAGCACCGGCUAAAUUCGUG
RNAcentral lists this ribosomal RNA (485 nucleotides) under uncultured bacterium. RNAcentral's name for it is "partial 16S ribosomal RNA". It matches the Rfam family "Bacterial small subunit ribosomal RNA", at positions 28 to 507 of the family's 1533-position model. The record is from RNAcentral.